AUUGAACGCUGGCGGCAGGCCUAACACAUGCAAGUCGAGCGGAUGAAGGGAGCUUGCUCCUGGAUUCAGCGGCGGACGGGUGAGUAAUGCCUAGGAAUCUGCCUGGUAGUGGGGGAUAACGUCCGGAAACGGGCGCUAAUACCGCAUACGUCCUGAGGGAGAAAGUGGGGGAUCUUCGGACCUCACGCUAUCAGAUGAGCCGCGGUCGGAUUAGCUAGUUGGUGGGGUAAAGGCCUACCAAGGCGACGAUCCGUAACUGGUCUGAGAGGAUGAUCAGUCACACUGGAGCUGGGCCACGGUCCAGACUCCUACGGGAGGCAGCAGUGGGGAAUAUUGGACAAUGGGCGAAAGCCUGAUCCAGCCAUGCCGCGUGUGUGAAGAAGGUCUUCGGAUUGUAAAGCACUUUAAGUUGGGAGGAAGGGCAGUCAGUUAAUACCUUGCUGUUUUGACGUUACCAACAGAAUAAGCACCGGCUAACUUCGUG
RNAcentral lists this ribosomal RNA (484 nucleotides) under uncultured bacterium. RNAcentral describes it as "partial 16S ribosomal RNA". It matches the Rfam family "Bacterial small subunit ribosomal RNA", at positions 30 to 507 of the family's 1533-position model. The record is from RNAcentral.